UUAUUUGAAAUAGGAUACAACCUCAAAUACUGGGUAAACAACAAUAAUAUUAUUGCUUAAGUCGGCCUAAAAGCAGCCACCUUUUAAAAAGCGUCAAAGCUUAAACACCCCUUACUAAUAAUCCCUGCAUAUUACCUGAACCCUUUAUUUCUACUGAGUAAUUUUAUACGAAUAUAAAAGCUAUUAUGCUAGAACUAGUAACAAGAAUAUACUUCUCCAAAAUGUCAGUAUGAACCAAAACGGACUAUCCAUUGGUAAUUAACGUUAAUACACCUAUUAUAGCAACAUACACAAGAAAACCCUAUAAACUCUAACGUCAACCUAACACUAGAACAUUUCAGGAAAGAUUAAAAGAGAAAGAAGGAACUCGGCAAAUUUUAGCCCCGCCUGUUUACCAAAAACAUCGCCUCUUGAACAAAUAUAAGAGGUCCAGCCUGCCCAGUGACAUAGUUUAACGGCCGCGGUACCCUAACCGUGCGAAGGUAGCAUAAUCACUUGUUCCUUAAAUAGGGACUAGUAUCAACGGCAUUACGAGGGCUGUACUGUCUCCUUUCUCCAAUCAGUGAAACUGAUCUCCCCGUGAAGAAGCGGGGAUUUUAAU
RNAcentral lists this ribosomal RNA (601 nucleotides) under Hylarana erythraea (green paddy frog). RNAcentral describes it as "partial 16S ribosomal RNA". It matches the Rfam family "Bacterial large subunit ribosomal RNA", at positions 1006 to 2074 of the family's 2925-position model. The record is from RNAcentral. Lineage: Eukaryota; Metazoa; Chordata; Amphibia; Anura; Ranidae.